Molecule: transfer RNA, 80 nt
Filed under: Mycolicibacterium chitae
Lineage: Bacteria; Bacillati; Actinomycetota; Actinomycetes; Mycobacteriales; Mycobacteriaceae
Description: tRNA-His(gtg)
Source: RNAcentral
CGCGAUGCUCGCCGAGGCCGGCGCCGGGCUGUGAACUCGGUCCGGGAUCUCAGUCCGGGUUCGAGGCCUGGAACCGCGCC